CGGGACGGGUGAGUAAUGUCUGGGAAACUGCCUGAUGAGGGGGAUAACUACUGGAAACGGUAGCUAAUACCGCAUAACGUCGCAAGGCCAAAGAGGGGGACCUUCGGGCCUCUUGCCAUCGGAUGUGCCCAGAUGGGAUUAGCUAGUAGGUGGGGUAACGGCUCACCUAGGCGACGAUCCCUAGCUGGUCUGAGAGGAUGACCAGCCACACUGGAACUGAGACACGGUCCAG
This 232-nucleotide ribosomal RNA is filed under the name uncultured bacterium. Its description in RNAcentral is "partial 16S ribosomal RNA". It matches the Rfam family "Bacterial small subunit ribosomal RNA", at positions 100 to 334 of the family's 1533-position model. The record is from RNAcentral.